This 441-nucleotide ribosomal RNA is filed under the name uncultured bacterium. RNAcentral's name for it is "partial 16S ribosomal RNA". It matches the Rfam family "Bacterial small subunit ribosomal RNA", at positions 338 to 795 of the family's 1533-position model. The record is from RNAcentral.
CCUACGGGGGACUGCAGUGGGGGAUAUUGCACAAUGGGGGGAACCCUGAUGCAGCGACGCCGCGUGGGUGAAGGAGUGCUUCGGCAUGUAAAGCCCUAUCGGCAGGGAAGAAGCAAGACGGUACCUGACUAAGAAGCCCCGGCUAACUACGUGCCAGCAGCCGCGGUAAUACGUAGGGGGCGAGCGUUAUCCGGAUUCACUGGGGGUAAAGGGAGCGUAGACGGCCAUGCAAGCCAGGGGUGACAGCCCGGGGCCCAAACCCGGGACUGCCCUUGGAAGUGUGCGGCUAGAGUGCGGGAGGGGCAGGCGGAAUUCCUGGUGUAGCGGUGAAAUGCGUAGAUAUCAGGAGGAACACCGGCGGCGAAGGCGGCCUGCUGGACCGCGACUGACGUUGAGGCUCGAAAGCGUGGGGAGCGAACAGGAUUAGAUACCCCAGUAGUC